AAUUUAAUUUGGUUCGGUUCGGUUCGGUUCGGUUCGGUUUGAACCGAAUGCUCACCCCUAGUCUCCUCCAGGGUGCUGCCAAAAAAAGAUCAAGAAGGCACUUGACUGAGACAGAUGAAUUUGUUACCAACAACAAUGAAAUUACUUUGAUGGAUUCUGUUGCAAUUUCCACAGCCUACCAGAAGAUGACGUCUCUUUGUUUGAAUAUUAAAAAUGAAAUUUGUGCUGACAUUGAAAUCCACAAUCAACAUAUAUUUCCCAGGUGUGGCUAUUUUUUUAAAUUUCAUAUUGCAUUACUUGAAAAUUGGGUCUUUUUUUAUUUUUAUUUUUAAGCUUGAUAUUCUCCUGAAGACUUAACCUUUUUAUUUAUUUACAAAGCAAUUGAAUUGAAUAGCAAAAUAUAAUUAAAUUACUGAUACAUAAUAAACAUGUAGUGGGUGGUAAGGGUUAUUUUAACGUGCAGUUUUUGUAGUUCUGCAUGGAAUAGCAUAAAUUGCCUCUAGUUUUUAAUAUAAGUUUUGGAACCUUAAAUAUAUAAAAUGGAGUUUUUUUUUUUUAAUAUCUUAUAUCUUAAAAUGCAUGCUGUGCAAUUUGUUGAUUUACUCUUAGAAUGUUAAUUAGUUGUUUGAAGUAGUUGAAUCAUGCAUGUCUUUUGAAUCAAAAGAUGGCUGAGCAGUUUUGUGUCAUGUACCUACUAUUGUGUUCUAUCUGAUUUUUAGAACAUAAUCUGCCUAGAUCUCAACUACAAAUGUAGUUUCCAGUAAAAACACAGUUAGAUCCUUCUGAUAGAAAGAAAAUUUAAUCCUGGGCAGCAUAAAAUGGGAAGAGCCUUUCUUUGAAAUUGCAAUUUCUGAUACAUUGGAGUGUGAAAGAACAGGACUUCUCUUUUGUAUUUUUGACACAGUAUAGGUGCCACGUGGUUACCUCGUGUAAGUGGCAAACUUUCUACUUAAUUAUGCAUUUGAUUUAUUCUCUGCGGACAACUUUUCCAGUCAAACUUCGCCAGUUAGCUUUGAGAUGUCAAUUGAAUGGUGUUUUGUUGUUUUAACCUAUUAAAGCCUAUGCCAUUAUUGUUCUGUCCACUCAUCAUUUGUGUUUUUCUUCCCAAUUUGUAAUGAAUAUGUAGGUGCUUGCUUGAUUUCUGGGCUGGUCUUUUCUAUGAUCUGAUGCCAGAUAUGUAAGAUUCUGAUGUCCAAGUUUCUUUUUCUGCAGUUUUAUAGACCUUCCAAAUUUAUCUUCAUCCAUAUACAGCACAGAGCUUUGCAAUAGAUUGCGGGCUUUCCUGCUUGCAUGGCCUCCAUCUGGUCCUUCACCUCCUGUAGCAGAACUUGUUAUUGCAACGGCUGAUUUUCAGAAAGACCUUGCCAGCUGGAAAAUUAGUCCUGUGAAAGGUGGAGUUGAUGCAAAAGAGUUAUUCCAUUUGUAUAUCAUGCUAUGGAUUCAAGACAAGCGCCUUUCCUUGCUUGAGUCAUGUAAACUAGACAAGGUAAAAUGGUCAGGAGUCAGGACACAACAUUCUACUACUCCCUUUGUUGACGAGAUGUAUGACCGUCUUAGAGAGACUCUAGAAAAUUAUGAAGUCAUCAUUUGCCGAUGGCCAGAAUAUGUUUUUGUGCUAGAAAAUGCUAUUGCUGAUGUUGAGAAGGCCAUUGUGGAAGCUUUGGACAAACAAUAUGCAGAUGUGCUAGCACCAUUGAAGGAGAAUUUGACACCUAAGAAAUUUGGCUUCAAGUAUGUCAAGAAGCUUACCCAACGAUCUGUAUCCUCAUAUACUAUUCCUGAUGAGCUUGGGAUUCUGUUGAAUUCCAUGAAGAGGAUGCUUGAUGUCCUGCGUCCCAAGAUAGAAAUUCAGUUCAAGUCAUGGGGUUCUUGCAUACCUGAUGGUGGAAACACUGCUCCGGGAGAGCGCCUUAGUGAAGUGACUGUGAUGCUGAGAGCCAAGUUUAGAAGUUAUCUGCAAGCUGUUGUAGAAAAACUAGCAGAGAAUACCAAGUUGCAGAAUACUACAAAAUUGAAAAAGAUUCUCCAAGAAUCAAAGGAAUCUGUGGUAGAAUCUGAUAUAAGAGUAAGAAUGCAGCCACUGAAAGACCAUCUGACAAACACAAUUAAUCACCUUCAAUCUGUUUUUGAGACUCAUGUUUUCAUCGCAAUCUGUCGAGGCUAUUGGGACCGCAUGGGGCAGGAUGUUCUUAAUUUCUUGGAGAACAGAAAAGAAAAUAGGUCCUGGUACAAAGGAUCUCGAAUAGCAGUGUCUGUCCUGGAUGAUACGUUUGCAUCACAGAUGCAGCAGCUGCUUGGGAAUGCACUACAAGAGAAAGAUCUUGAGCCACCUAGAUCAAUAAUGGAAGUCCGUUCAAUGCUUUGCAAGGAUGCUCCCAAUCACAAGGAGAACAGCUACUACUAUUGAAAGUGGUCGUGUUUGCAGAUACGAGUGGUACGAGGGCAUGUGAUUAUAUAAAGCAGGAGGUUGGUAAACAUUUGGCCUUUUGCUAAUCGUGUCCAUCAGUGAUACAGGUGCAUGCAAUUUUGAAGGGAGCAAGCGACUCGGUUGCUCUCUCAGAUUCGCCAAUCUGCCCUCCUUCAAGAAGCUAGUUUAGUUCUUAUUUUUGGGCAUAAAAUAUAUAGAGAGCAUUGGAACGUUGAUUUUAUACAUAUUUUGUAAUCGCCACACAAUGUAUAGUGUGGCAUUGAGCAUAGCAUUUAAUGGCUUGUUCCGUUGGUCUUACAUAUGAAAUUAAAUGAAUAUAUAAAUUUAAAAAUUUUUAUUUUAAAUGCAUUUUUAAAUUAAUCAAAUAAAAUCUUAUGGUUAAA
Molecule: unclassified non-coding RNA, 2811 nt
Filed under: Hevea brasiliensis (rubber tree)
Lineage: Eukaryota; Viridiplantae; Streptophyta; Magnoliopsida; Malpighiales; Euphorbiaceae
Source: RNAcentral